Molecule: long non-coding RNA, 440 nt
Filed under: Mytilus galloprovincialis (Mediterranean mussel)
Lineage: Eukaryota; Metazoa; Mollusca; Bivalvia; Mytilida; Mytilidae
Source: RNAcentral
UGAUAUCGAGAAUAAAAACGUAAAGAAAACAAUUUACUAAAAUUCACACAGUCUUGGUGUGGCAUUGUUCAAUGACAAUUGCUUAUGUUACUGUGCUGGAAAUCUUGGAACACAGGAGAUUAAUCUGAAAGAACAAUUCAUUAAUAAUGUUAUAUCUAGUGAAAUGUCGCCCCAUGCCUGCUUGGCAAUACUACGUAAUAUAAUAUACUACACCGACAGGAAAACUCAUAGUGUUACCUGCAUGGAUACAUCAUGAAUGGGUACAGGUGAGCACAUAUCUUAUAAAGUGUGGACAUUCAAAAAUGAGAAUGUUUUGAAAUCCCCAAAUGGAAUCGCAAUAGACAACAUUGGCAGUGUAUACGUAUCGGGAGGUGCGUCUUGUAAUGUAGUAGUUAUCUCAAAUAAUGGAUUAUUUCAUAAACAACUUUUAUCUAAAGAAG